This 29-nucleotide small RNA is filed under the name Bombyx mori (domestic silkworm). RNAcentral's name for it is "ovarian small RNA-37451". Lineage: Eukaryota; Metazoa; Arthropoda; Insecta; Lepidoptera; Bombycidae. The record is from RNAcentral.
UUCUAAAAUAUCAUUUUGUUUGUGGCAUC